UGAAACACCUGGUGACCGCCUCUCUCCCCCCCAAGCCUUUAAUGGGGGUGGUGGUAGGGAGGGGGUACUAAUGCUCCAGGCAUUAUGGCCCUCGUGGCGCUGGCUGUCGGAGGCACUGGUUGGGUGCGCUUGGUCAGAGUCGUGAUGCUUUCGAUGACGGAAAGGCAAAUACAUCCCGAUCGCCUCAAGCAGAGCCUCCUUCCUACCCCUACAAAAGAAAACGUUUUCCCCAGUUUGAUCACAAUGAUGUUUAAAGCAUAAAAGAACGGAAAAAGAAAAAUGGACGUUGCUAAUUUGGCAGAGCGGAAGGCCGUAGGGAGGCCUUGGGGACAGUCGGUAUGGGGUGUGUUGGAGAAAUAUAAGAACAGGCGCUUGUGAUCUCCACCAAGUAAAAAAUUUUGGACUGGGAGAUCCAUCUGCUGUAGGGUCCAGUGUCCAGGGAAAUCUUUCAAGCCCGAUGUAGAGGUUUUCCAUAUCCUUCCAGAUGGCGGGGGCAGCCGAACCUGCCUAAAAAUCCCCGCGUUCUGUUCGACAGGGGCAGAUUUAUGUGUGGUGGGGCGUGAGAGGGCUUUUGCCCUUCCAGCGGCGGGCAGCAGACAGCUCCGGCUUCUCCUUUGCCCUCUAGUCUAAUAACUUCUCAGAAAUACAGGGCCAAUAAACUACGAGUUGGAAAUGGACAGUGUUAAAUAAACAAGGGUCUCUUUAAAAUUCUCAUCCACUUCAGAUGUCUAAAGUAAGAUUGUGAUGAUUUUGUCACGGUUUGGUAAAUUUACCCCUUUAAGAGGCUUUCAUAAAUCCCAGAACACACCUUCAGCCAGAUUUGAAUAUAGAUUUAGGUUUUAAAACCCAGAAGCUGGAAACACCGCUUUAUCAAAGAGAAUUUCCCUUUAGCUUAGCAAUGUGCUGAAGCUCUUAAAAGAUUGGAUCUGAGAGAGAGAGACAGAGAGGAGAAAGAACUAGAGACAGAGAGAGGCAGACAGGGAGGGGGGGAGAAGACUUUCUUUUUCUUUCUAGAGGAAUUCUGCCCAGACUCUGCAGCAGUUGGUAGCAGGCAAGCUUUCUCCUGGGUGUCGCUUGGAAAAGUUGCAAAAUUGCUCUUCACCUGUAAGAACAUGCUCUUUAUCUUCCAGUCUCUUCUUGUCAAUUUGGAAAUCGCAGACAGCCCGGCUCAGUAGAGACGGGGUUUCACCAUGUUGACCAGGAUGGUCUCGAUCUCUUGACCUCGUGAUCCACCCUCCUCGGCCUCCCAAAGUGCUGGGAUUACAGGCUUGAGCCACCGUGCCCAGCCUUCAGAAAAUUUCUUAAUGAAAGAGAUGACGAUGUUGGCCUUCACCUCCAGAAUGAAGAUACUUCAGGACUUAGUCUGAAAGCAAAGGGUUUGUGCUGCCAGGAAGAGCCAUUAAGAUGCUCUGUGUUGGCUGGGGGCAGUAACUCACGCCUGUAAUCCCAGCACGUUGAGAGGCCAAGGGAGGUGGAUCAUUUGAGGUCAGGAGUUCGAGACCAGCCUGAUCAACGUGGUGAAACCCCAUCUCUACUAAAAAUAGAAAAAUUGACCAGGAAAAAGUGGCAACCCAUUCCCAACUUGAAGAUUUCUCAUUGUUUUUACCAAACUUAAAGAACCAGCAGCCAAGAGAGAAGUGCCUCGAAUUGCGGAUGGGCUGUUACCUUUUCGAAGAGAAGACUUAUGCUCUGAGAGAAGAUUUUCUAGCAGUGGAAACAGAUUCACCUCUGGUGCUGCUUCAAGUUACUGAACUUAUCAAACAGGCUGGUGUACAAGUGCCCUUGGCCUUGCCUUGGUAGCUCUGGCUGGGCCACAGGAAAGUCUUAAGACACCGAGGUUGGGCGGCUUCAGAAGAUGCUUGUUGACUGACUGGACAAAGAAGACAGUGAAGAUUUUAUAUGUAAUCUCUAAGACUCAUCUGUCUUACACUGAUGAAGAAGUCCUAGAAGGUCUUCAAAAAGAGAAUAUAUUUCAGCAGAGAGGCAAACGUAAUACAUUUUUAUCACGGAAAGCAGAUCUAGCCACAGAACUGGGUCUUGAAGCUGUUUCCCACAGCCCUCUGCAGCCAGGGAUGGCCUCUAGGAGGACCAGCCUCAGGAAGGUGAAGGGUGCCUCAAGAGCACCCUUGCCCAAUCCAACAGCAAGGAACAAAAUGAGAGCCAAUGAACAAAAUGGAAAAUAACUUUCCCAGACCAGAGAGAAAACACUUGGCAUUCCUGAGGAACAGCUGCUUGCUGUUAGAAGUUUAUGGUAAUAAACUAAACUGGGUGAGCACUUCCUAAGAAGAAAUAUUUAAUUAUCCUGCUCACCAUUAUGAGGAACUUCUGCCACUCUUCAGGUUAUUAUACAGUAAAUAACCAUUUUUCUAAAGGACAGAGCUGUUUUAAUUAUAUGACAAUGAAUGCAUAAUUAUUAUGUUUGUUAGGAAUGAAUCACAAGACAACAGACUUGAUAUUACUGCUCUGGUUAGUGCAUCUUAAUUACUUUUUCAUUUAUUUUGCAUAUAAAAGGUAUUUGCUAAUUGUCUUUGCUGUAAAUAUGCAAAAUAUAAUUAGUCAUUCAUAAUUCUUUAUGUGUUAUCUAACUGUACAUUUGUUUCUAAGGAACAUAUAUUAAAGUGUGAAUAUUUAA
Molecule: RNA transcript, 2632 nt
Organism: Callithrix jacchus (white-tufted-ear marmoset)
Lineage: Eukaryota; Metazoa; Chordata; Mammalia; Primates; Cebidae
Source: RefSeq, a predicted model, not a curated record